This is a long non-coding RNA of Hemiscyllium ocellatum (epaulette shark), 391 nucleotides long. RefSeq lists it as uncharacterized. The transcript has 5 exons. Lineage: Eukaryota; Metazoa; Chordata; Chondrichthyes; Orectolobiformes; Hemiscylliidae. The record is from RefSeq and is a predicted model, not a curated record.
AGACAUGAAAUGCAAUUAAAGGUGCCAUAGAUUAAACCCAUUCACAGAAAAGUUCUUCAAAGUCUGCCCCUCCCUGCUUAAAGGAUGCCAGUAUUAUUGAAAGGAACAGUUUCACUUUUUUCACAUUUCAGUCUCACGGCAAAGAAGAUUGUUGAAGGCAGAGUGGUGGAUGUUGUCUUUAUGGCUUCAACAAGACGUUUGACAAUGUUCUGCAUGAUAAACUGAUAUAGGCAUUGCCGGCUAGGCCAACAUUUAUUGUCCAUCUCUAAUUUCCCUGAUGGCAGUUCAGAGUCAACCCAAUUACUGUGAUUAUGGAGCCAGACCAGGAAGAAUGCUUAAGGAUAAAUGUAUUGGAGACAGAACAGAGGAGGUUUACGAGAUUACUACCCAG